GAUUCGUCACACUAUCAUUAACUGAAUCCAUAGGUUAAUGAGGCGAACCGGGGGAACUGAAACAUCUAAGUACCCCGAGGAAAAGAAAUCAACCGAGAUUCCCCCAGUAGCGGCGAGCGAACGGGGAGGAGCCCAGAGCCUGAAUCAGCAUGUGUGUUAGUGGAAGCGUCUGGAAAGGCGCGCGAUACAGGGUGACAGCCCCGUACACAAAAGCGCAUGUGCUGUGAGCUCGAUGAGUAGGGCGGGACACGUGGUAUCCUGUCUGAAUAUGGGGGGACCAUCCUCCAAGGCUAAAUACUCCUGACUGACCGAUAGUGAACCAGUACCGUGAGGGAAAGGCGAAAAGAACCCCGGCGAGGGGAGUGAAAAAGAACCUGAAACCGUGUACGUACAAGCAGUGGGAGCACCCUUCGGGGUGUGACUGCGUACCUUUUGUAUAAUGGGUCAGCGACUUAUAUUCUGUAGCAAGGUUAACCGUAUAGGGGAGCCGGAGGGAAACCGAGUCUUAAUUGGGCGUUAAGUUGCAGGGUAUAGACCCGAAACCCGGUGAUCUAGCCAUGGGCAGGUUGAAGGUUGGGUAACACUAACUGGAGGACCGAACCGACUAAUGUUGAAAAAUUAGCGGAUGACCUGUGGCUGGGGGUGAAAGGCCAAUCAAACCGGGAGAUAGCUGGUUCUCCCCGAAAGCUAUUUAGGUAGCGCCUCGUGAAUUCAUCUCCGGGGGUAGAGCACUGUUUCGGCUAGGGGGCCAUCCCGGCUUACCAACCCGAUGCAAACUGCGAAUACCGGAGAAUGUUAUCACGGGAGACACACGGCGGGUGCUAACGUCCGUCGUGAAGAGGGAAACAACCCAGACCGCCAGCUAAGGUCCCAAAGUCAUGGUUAAGUGGGAAACGAUGUGGGAAGGCCCAGACAGCCAGGAUGUUGGCUUAGAAGCAGCCAUCAUUUAAAGAAAGCGUAAUAGCUCACUGGUCGAGUCGGCCUGCGCGGAAGAUGUAACGGGGCUAAACCAUGCACCGAAGCUGCGGCAGCGACGCUGAUGCGUUGUUGGGUAGGGGAGCGUUCUGUAAGCCUGUGAA
This 1079-nucleotide ribosomal RNA is filed under the name Salmonella enterica subsp. enterica serovar Typhimurium. Its description in RNAcentral is "partial 23S ribosomal RNA". It matches the Rfam family "Bacterial large subunit ribosomal RNA", at positions 137 to 1254 of the family's 2925-position model. Lineage: Bacteria; Pseudomonadati; Pseudomonadota; Gammaproteobacteria; Enterobacterales; Enterobacteriaceae. The record is from RNAcentral.